GGGCCGGCCCUUUGAUUAGGCCCAAGGGGCAAUGGCCUAGGGCCCCCAAAUUUAGGGGGCCCCAAAAAAUGUAUAGCCCACUAGUAUUAUUAGCCCAAUUGUAAAAAAAAAAAAUUUAUCUAUAACCUAUUCCUGCAAAACAGCAAGCAACGGCUCUCCUUCUCAAUUUUAUUUUUUUCCAUACGCUGACUAGCUCUAACGUCUCUCUCUUCUCGACUUCUCUCAAUUCUUGAAUCGUGCUGCUCAUCUGCUCUCUCGACUCUCAUCUCCUACCUAUUCUCUGUGCUAUUGCGCCUGCCCAUCUCUCUCUCUCAAUUCUCACUCUAUUUUGCGGCCUUUGCUCGGCUUCCGCUGCUCAGUCUUUGCUCGAGCUCCAUCUGCCUGAAGUGAAUUAAGGCUGAAAUUAUAAAGGGUAAAGGGUAUUCUCAGCUCAUCCUUUGCUUCAUUUUCGAAAAAGGAAGGUAUUUUGUUAGUUUAUUUAUAAGAAUUUAGAUUUCGAAAUUGAUGAUGUGAGAAAAAAAAAUGAUUCUUUGAAUAUCUUUGAUCCAAGAACUUGGAAUAAUCUUGAUAACAAAACUAGAGAUAUUUUGAUAGAGAAAGGCCCAUUAAGAGAAUACAAUCUCACUUUCCCUAUAGAUGAGCUUGGUAGACAUUUUGCAUAUUCUUAUUAUACUAGAAAACUACCAAAUGGUGAGAAUCAAGAUAGAAAAUGGUUGGUGUACUCAAAAGAUGCAAAUAAAGUAUAUUGUUUUUGUUGCAAAUUAUUUAGAUCACUUCAAAAUAAUAGUUUGCUAGCAAAUGAAGGUUUGAAUGAUUGGAAGCAUAUAAAUGAUAGGCUCAAAAAACAUGAGAAAAGUAUUGAGCAUAUUAAUAAUAUGAGGACUUGGAUUGAUUUGCAUAUUAGAUUGCAACAUAAUCAAACAAUUGAUAAAGAUUUACAAGCACUCAUUAAAAAAGAGAAAGAACAUUGGAAACUUGUUUUAGUAAGAAUUAUUGCCGUUGUGAAAUGUCUUGCUACACGUAAUUUGGCUUUUCGUGGGGACAAUGAAAAGAUUUAUCAAAAUAAUAAUGGUAAUUUUCUUGGCUUGCUUGAAUUGAUUGCAGAAUUUGAUUUGGUAAUGCAAGAGCACUUAAGACGUGUCCAGAAUAAGGAAAUUCAUUAUCAUUAUCUUAGUCACAAGAUUCAAAAUGAGUUGAUUUCAACAUUAGCCUCUAAAGUUAAGAAUGAUAUAAUAAAAAAAAUAAAAGAGGCUAAGUAUUAUUCAGUGAUUCUUGAUUGUACUUCUGAUAUAAGUCAUAAUGAGCAAAUGACUUUAGUAAUUCGAUGUGUUGAUAUGUCCGACAAUAAAAUAAAGGUAAAGGAAUAUUUCAUUGAAUUUUUAAGUGUGGAUGAUACAUCUGGUGUAGCCCUUUUUAAUGAAAUACAAGGUGUUUUACAAUCACUUGAUCUUGAUAUUGAUAAUGUUAGGGGACAAGGAUACGAUAAUGGUUCCAAUAUGAAAGGAAGACAUCAAGGUGUGCAAAAGAGAUUUCUUGAUAUUAAUCCUAGAGCAUUUUAUAUGCCAUGUGCUUGUUAUUCUCUUAAUUUAACAAUAUGUGAUAUGGCUAGUUCUUGUGUUAAAGCUGUCUCUUUUUUGGGAGUUGUGCAACGUUUGUAUACUUUAUUUGCUAGUUCUACAAAAGAUGGAAAAUUUUACAGGAUCACAUUCAUCAAUUUACUUUAAAAUCAUUAUCAACAACAAGAUGGAAAAGUCAUAUUAAUAGUGUUACCAUAAUAACUCAACCUAAGGAAAUAAGAGAUGCUCUAUUUGAACUAUCAAGAGUUAGUGAGGAUGCUAAAACUAGGAGUGAAGCCGAGUCUUUGGCAACUAAUGAACUUGAGAAUUUUGAAUUUUUGUUGGGUAUGACUAUAUGGCAUAAUAUAUUGAACAAAACAAAUUUGAUUAGCAAAAAACUACAAUCUAAAGACAUGCAAAUUGAUGUUGCAAUAGUUAUCUUGAAAGGUUUGAUUUCUUAUUUUGAAAAAUAUAGAGAGGAAGGUUUUCAGUCGGCCUUGACAUUAGCUAAGGACCUUGCAUCUAAAAUGGAAAUUGAUCCUAUUUUUCCACCAAAACGUAUGAUUCGUAGGAAGAAACAAUUUGAUGAAAAUUGUCAAGAAGAGAUUCCAUUAUCUGAUGAGGAGUCUUUUAGGAUCAAUUAUUUUAUUGUUAUAGUGGAUAUUGCUAUUUUAUCUUUAAAGACUAGAUUUGAACAAUUGACAAUAUUUGAAGAUAUUUUUGGCUUUUUGUUUCCUCAUAAGAUGUUAUCUUUAUGGGAUGGUGAUAAAUUGCAUAAAUGUUGUGUUAAGCUUCAAGAUGCCCUGAAACAUAAUGAUAAAUUUGAUAUUGAUGCUGAAGAUUUAUAUUCUGAAUUGCAAGUGCUACAAAUGUGUUUACCAUCUGAAACAAAGUCUCUUGAUGAGGUUCUUGAGUUUGUUAAAGUUUCAGAUUGCUUUCCUAAUGUUUCUAUUGCAUAUAGAAUAUUGUUGACUAUACCAGUUACUGUAGCUUCAGCAGAAAGAAGUUUUUCAAAAUUAAAAUUGAUAAAAUCAUAUUUACGUUCUACUAUGUCUCAAGAAAGGUUGAAUGGAUUGGCGGUUCUAUGCAUUGAACAUGAGGUAUUAGAAAAGCUUGAUCUUGAAGAAAUUAUUGAUGAUUUUGCUUCUCAAAAUGCAAGAAGAUCUAAGUUAUUUUUAUAAUUAUUUUAUCAUUGUUUUCUAGUUUAUUGCACUUUAUGGUUAAUGUUACAGGUUUACAGAUAUCUCAAAUUUGCUACAACUUCUCGAAGCUUCUUCUUUAGGGGCCCCUUUUUUCCUUUUCGCCUAGGGCCCCCAGAAUGUCAGGGCCGGCCCUGCG
This 2894-nucleotide long non-coding RNA is filed under the name Salvia miltiorrhiza (redroot sage). Its description in RNAcentral is "long non-coding RNA (SMIL_LNC006667)". The record is from RNAcentral. Lineage: Eukaryota; Viridiplantae; Streptophyta; Magnoliopsida; Lamiales; Lamiaceae.